CAGCACCUCAAGUGGUCAGGAUGAUUAUUGGGCCUAAAGCAUCCGUAGCCGGCUUUGUUAGUUUUCGGUUAAAUCUGUACGCUUAACGUACAGGCUGCCGGGAAUACUGCAGAGCUAGGGAGUGGGAGAGGUAGACGGUACUCGGUAGGAAGGGGUAAAAUCCUUUGAUCUAUUGAUGACCACCUGUGGCGAAGGCGGUCUACCAGAACACGUCCGACGGUGAGGGAUGAAAGCUGGGGGAGCAAACCGGAUUAGAUACCCGAGUAGUCC
This 270-nucleotide ribosomal RNA is filed under the name uncultured archaeon. RNAcentral describes it as "partial 16S ribosomal RNA". It matches the Rfam family "Archaeal small subunit ribosomal RNA", at positions 477 to 747 of the family's 1478-position model. The record is from RNAcentral.